RNAcentral lists this ribosomal RNA (290 nucleotides) under uncultured Dacrymycetes. RNAcentral's name for it is "partial 28S ribosomal RNA". It matches the Rfam family "Eukaryotic large subunit ribosomal RNA", at positions 40 to 338 of the family's 3401-position model. Lineage: Eukaryota; Fungi; Basidiomycota; Dacrymycetes. The record is from RNAcentral.
AUAUCAAUAAGCGGAGGAAAAGAAACUAACAAGGAUUCCCCUAGUAACUGCGAGUGAAGCGGGAAAAGCUCAAAUUUAAAAUCCUUCGGGAGUUGUAAUCUAGAGAAGUGUUUUCGGCCGUUGUCUCGAACAAGUUCCUUGGAACAGGACGUCAUAGAGGGUGAGAAUCCCGUACUUGUCGAACCAGCAACGUCUAUGUGAUGCACUUUCGAAGAGUCGAGUUGUUUGGGAAUGCAGCUCAAAACGGGUGGUAAACUCCAUCUAAAGCUAAAUAUUGGCGAGAGACCGAU